GACGAACGCUGGCGGCGUGCUUAACACAUGCAAGUCGAACGGAAGGGCCCUGCUUUUGUGGGGUGCUCGAGUGGCGAACGGGUGAGUAACACGUGAGUAACCUGCCCUUGACUUUGGGAUAACUUCAGGAAACUGGGGCUAAUACCGGAUAGGAGCUCCUGCUGCAUGGUGGGGGUUGGAAAGUUUCGGCGGUUGGGGAUGGACUAGCGGCUUAUCAGCUUGUUGGUGGGGUAGUGGCUUACCAAGGCUUUGAGGGGUAGCCGGCCUGAGAGGGUGACCGGCCACAUUGGGACUGAGAGACGGCGCAGACUCCUACGGGAGGCAGCAGUGGGGAAUAUUGCACAAUGGGCGGAAGCCUGAUGCAGCAACGCCGCGUGCGGGAUGACGGCCUUCGGGUUGUAAACCGCUUUCGCCUGUGACGAAGCGUUAGUGACGGUAAUGGGUAAAGAAGCACCGGCUAACUACGUG
RNAcentral lists this ribosomal RNA (468 nucleotides) under uncultured bacterium. RNAcentral describes it as "partial 16S ribosomal RNA". It matches the Rfam family "Bacterial small subunit ribosomal RNA", at positions 28 to 507 of the family's 1533-position model. The record is from RNAcentral.